Molecule: ribosomal RNA, 497 nt
Filed under: uncultured bacterium
Lineage: Bacteria
Description: partial 16S ribosomal RNA
Rfam family: Bacterial small subunit ribosomal RNA
Source: RNAcentral
GAUGAACGCUGGCGGCGUGCCUAAUACAUGCAAGUCGAGCGAACAGACGAGGAGCUUGCUCCUCUGACGUUAGCGGCGGACGGGUGAGUAACACGUGGAUAACCUACCUAUAAGACUGGGAUAACUUCGGGAAACCGGAGCUAAUACUGGAUAAUAUAUUGAACCGCAUGGUUCAAUAGUGAAAGACGGUUUUGCUGUCACUUAUAGAUGGAUCCGCGCCGCAUUAGCUAGUUGGUAAGGUAACGGCUUACCAAGGCAACGAUGCGUAGCCGACCUGAGAGGGUGAUCGGCCACACUGGAACUGAGACACGGUCCAGACUCCUACGGGAGGCAGCAGUAGGGAAUCUUCCGCAAUGGGCGAAAGCUUGACGGAGCAACGCCGCGUGAGUGAUGAAGGUCUUCGGAUCGUAAAACUCUGUUAUUAGGGAAGAACAAAUGUGUAAGUAACUAUGCACGUCUUGACGGUACCUAAUCAGAAAGCCACGGCUAACUACGUG